Molecule: ribosomal RNA, 2834 nt
Filed under: Enterobacter cloacae
Lineage: Bacteria; Pseudomonadati; Pseudomonadota; Gammaproteobacteria; Enterobacterales; Enterobacteriaceae
Description: bacterial LSU rRNA
Rfam family: Bacterial large subunit ribosomal RNA
Source: RNAcentral
AAAGCGCCGGCGAGGUGAUAUGAACCCUUGACCCGGCGAUGUCCGAAUGGGGAAACCCAGUGCAAUCCGUUGCACUAUCGUUAACUGAAUACAUAGGUUAACGAGGCGAACCGGGGGAACUGAAACAUCUAAGUACCCCGAGGAAAAGAAAUCAACCGAGAUUCCCCCAGUAGCGGCGAGCGAACGGGGAGCAGCCCGGAGUCUGAAUCAGCUUGUGUGUUAGUGGAACGGUCUGGAAAGUCCGACGGUACAGGGUGAUAGUCCCGUACACGAAAGCACACAUGCUGUGAACUCGAAGAGUAGGGCGGGACACGUGGUAUCCUGUCUGAAUAUGGGGGGACCAUCCUCCAAGGCUAAAUACUCCUGACUGACCGAUAGUGAACCAGUACCGUGAGGGAAAGGCGAAAAGAACCCCGGCGAGGGGAGUGAAAAAGAACCUGAAACCGUGUACGUACAAGCAGUGGGAGCCUCUUUAUGGGGUGACUGCGUACCUUUUGUAUAAUGGGUCAGCGACUUAUAUUCUGUAGCAAGGUUAACCGUAUAGGGGAGCCGAAGGGAAACCGAGUCUUAACUGGGCGUUAAGUUGCAGGGUAUAGACCCGAAACCCGGUGAUCUAGCCAUGGGCAGGUUGAAGGUUGGGUAACACUAACUGGAGGACCGAACCGACUAAUGUUGAAAAAUUAGCGGAUGACCUGUGGCUGGGGGUGAAAGGCCAAUCAAACCGGGAGAUAGCUGGUUCUCCCCGAAAGCUAUUUAGGUAGCGCCUCGUGAACUCAUCUUCGGGGGUAGAGCACUGUUUCGGCUAGGGGGCCAUCCCGGCUUACCAACCCGAUGCAAACUACGAAUACCGAAGAAUGUUAUCACGGGAGACACACGGCGGGUGCUAACGUCCGUCGUGAAGAGGGAAACAACCCAGACCGCCAGCUAAGGUCCCAAAGUCAUGGUUAAGUGGGAAACGAUGUGGGAAGGCACAGACAGCCAGGAUGUUGGCUUAGAAGCAGCCAUCAUUUAAAGAAAGCGUAAUAGCUCACUGGUCGAGUCGGCCUGCGCGGAAGAUGUAACGGGGCUAAACCAUGCACCGAAGCUGCGGCAGCGACACUAUGUGUUGUUGGGUAGGGGAGCGUUCUGUAAGCCGUUGAAGGUGUGCUGUGAGGCAUGCUGGAGGUAUCAGAAGUGCGAAUGCUGACAUAAGUAACGAUAAAGCGGGUGAAAAGCCCGCUCGCCGGAAGACCAAGGGUUCCUGUCCAACGUUAAUCGGGGCAGGGUGAGUCGACCCCUAAGGCGAGGCCGAAAGGCGUAGUCGAUGGGAAACAGGUUAAUAUUCCUGUACUUGGUGUUACUGCGAAGGGGGGACGGAGAAGGCUAUGUCAGCCGGGCGACGGUUGUCCCGGUUUAAGCAUGUAGGCGGAGGUUCCAGGUAAAUCCGGUACCUUAUUAACGCUGAGGUGUGAUGACGAGGCACUACGGUGCUGAAGUGAUAAAUGCCCUGCUUCCAGGAAAAGCCUCUAAGCAUCAGGUAACACGAAAUCGUACCCCAAACCGACACAGGUGGUCAGGUAGAGAAUACCAAGGCGCUUGAGAGAACUCGGGUGAAGGAACUAGGCAAAAUGGUGCCGUAACUUCGGGAGAAGGCACGCUGAUAUGUAGGUGAAGCCCCUGCGGGUGGAGCUGAAAUCAGUCGAAGAUACCAGCUGGCUGCAACUGUUUAUUAAAAACACAGCACUGUGCAAACACGAAAGUGGACGUAUACGGUGUGACGCCUGCCCGGUGCCGGAAGGUUAAUUGAUGGGGUUAGCGGCAACGCGAAGCUCUUGAUCGAAGCCCCGGUAAACGGCGGCCGUAACUAUAACGGUCCUAAGGUAGCGAAAUUCCUUGUCGGGUAAGUUCCGACCUGCACGAAUGGCGUAAUGAUGGCCAGGCUGUCUCCACCCGAGACUCAGUGAAAUUGAACUCGCUGUGAAGAUGCAGUGUACCCGCGGCAAGACGGAAAGACCCCGUGAACCUUUACUAUAGCUUGACACUGAACACUGGUCCUUGAUGUGUAGGAUAGGUGGGAGGCUUUGAAGCGUGGACGCCAGUCUGCGUGGAGCCGCCCUUGAAAUACCACCCUUUAAUGGCUGGUGUUCUAACGUAGACCCGUAAUCCGGGUUGCGGACAGUGUCUGGUGGGUAGUUUGACUGGGGCGGUCUCCUCCCAAAGAGUAACGGAGGAGCACGAAGGUUGGCUAAUCCUGGUCGGACAUCAGGAGGUUAGUGCAAUGGCAUAAGCCAGCUUGACUGCGAGCGUGACGGCGCGAGCAGGUGCGAAAGCAGGUCAUAGUGAUCCGGUGGUUCUGAAUGGAAGGGCCAUCGCUCAACGGAUAAAAGGUACUCCGGGGAUAACAGGCUGAUACCGCCCAAGAGUUCAUAUCGACGGCGGUGUUUGGCACCUCGAUGUCGGCUCAUCACAUCCUGGGGCUGAAGUAGGUCCCAAGGGUAUGGCUGUUCGCCAUUUAAAGUGGUACGCGAGCUGGGUUUAGAACGUCGUGAGACAGUUCGGUCCCUAUCUGCCGUGGGCGCUGGAGAAUUGAGGGGGGCUGCUCCUAGUACGAGAGGACCGGAGUGGACGCAUCACUGGUGUUCGGGUUGUCAUGCCAAUGGCACUGCCCGGUAGCUAAAUGCGGAAGAGAUAAGUGCUGAAAGCAUCUAAGCACGAAACUUGCCCCGAGAUGAGUUCUCCCUGAGACUUUAAGUCUCCUGAAGGAACGUUGAAGACGACGACGUUGAUAGGUCGGGUGUGUAAGCGCAGCGAUGCGUUGAGCUAACCGAUACUAAUGAACCGUGAGGCUUAACCUU